AAGUCGUAACAAGGUUUCCGUAGGUGAACCUGCGGAAGGAUCAUCAUUAAUUGAGACCUAGGGUUUUAACCCACCCAGGUUUUUAAAUAUUCGAUGACUUUUAGACCCAACUUUAAACCGGUGAUGACGACGGUCAUGAAUAUGGUAGGUUUUAUCAAGUUGAGGUGACCGGAAGGAGUGGAAACACGAGAUACGGUCUGUGAUGGGUUUCAAAUGAGACUAUCACAUUUGGUGUGAAAAAGAGUCUAAACUUUUGACGAGGGGUUUUUCCAUACUCGCACACCGACAUGGAAGUUACUAUAGUUGAUAAAUGGAACAGGAGUUUUACCGGAUCGUGGUUAUACACACCGGAUAAUAAAUGAAAACUUUCGGCAAUGGAUCUCUUGGCUAUCCCAUCGAUGAAGCGCAGC
RNAcentral lists this unclassified non-coding RNA (410 nucleotides) under fungal sp. Its description in RNAcentral is "partial internal transcribed spacer region". The stretch from base 1 to 46 matches the Rfam family "Eukaryotic small subunit ribosomal RNA", at positions 1786 to 1831 of the family's 1831-position model. The record is from RNAcentral. Lineage: Eukaryota; Fungi.